GUGAGGAAUUUUCCGCAAUGGGCGAAAGCCUGACGGAGCAAUGCCGCGUGAAGGAUGAAGGCCCAUGGGUUGUAAACUUCUUUUCUCAGAAAAGAAUUAUGACGGUAUCUGAGGAAUAAGCAUCGGCUAACUCUGUGCCAGCAGCCGCGGUAAGACAGAGGAUGCAAGCGUUAUCCGGAAUGAUUGGGCGUAAAGCGUCUGUAGGUUGUUUAAAAAGUAUUCUGUCAAAGAUUAGGGCUUAACCCUAGAUAGGCAGAAUAAACUUUUAAGCUAGAGUUUGGUAGAGGCAGAGGGAAUUCCCGGUGGAGCGGUGAAAUGCGUAGAUAUCGGGAGGAACACCAAAGGCGAAGGCACUCUGCUGGGCCAAUACUAACACUGAGAGACGAAAGCGAGGGGAGCAAAUGGGAUUAGAUACCCUGGUAGUCC
Molecule: ribosomal RNA, 426 nt
Filed under: uncultured bacterium
Lineage: Bacteria
Description: partial 16S ribosomal RNA
Rfam family: Bacterial small subunit ribosomal RNA
Source: RNAcentral